GAUGAACGCUGGCGGCGUGCCUAAUACAUGCAAGUCGAGCGAACAGAUGAGGAGCUUGCUCCUCUGACGUUAGCGGCGGACGGGUGAGUAACACGUGGAUAACCUACCUAUAAGACUGGGAUAACUUCGGGAAACCGGAGCUAAUACCGGAUAAUAUAUUGAACCGCAUGGUUCAAUAGUGAAAGACGGUUUUGCUGUCACUUAUAGAUGGAUCCGCGCCGCAUUAGCUAGUUGGUAAGGUAACGGCUUACCAAGGCAACGAUGCGUAGCCGACCUGAGAGGGUGAUCGGCCACACUGGAACUGAGACACGGUCCAGACUCCUACGGGAGGCAGCAGUAGGGAAUCUUCCGCAAUGGGCGAAAGCCUGACGGAGCAACGCCGCGUGAGUGAUGAAGGUCUUCGGAUCGUAAAACUCUGUUAUUAGGGAAGAACAAAUGCGUAAGUAACUAUGCACGUCUUGACGGUACCUAAACAGAAAGCCACGGCUAACUACGUG
RNAcentral lists this ribosomal RNA (497 nucleotides) under uncultured bacterium. Its description in RNAcentral is "partial 16S ribosomal RNA". It matches the Rfam family "Bacterial small subunit ribosomal RNA", at positions 28 to 507 of the family's 1533-position model. The record is from RNAcentral.